GAACUUGGAUUCCGACAGUCCUACUGUGUGUUGUCUUCAUGCUUCUUCAAAGCACUCUGUUGUCCUGAUAGUCUAUGUUUAUCUUUGGUCAAUCCUCUUCCUCCUCCUCCUUAUCUUCCUCCUCUUCUUCCUCCUCUCCUUUAUCUUCCUCUUCCUCUUCCUCCUCCUCCUCGUCGUCGUCGUCGUCAUCAUCAUCAUGGCUCGUUCUCAAGGGUUUUUUUUCUAUGUAUAUGCAUUUUGGACACAUUGCUGUACAAAAGUACUCUAGGAGGUUGAGCCUCCCCUGUUGUGCUAGGUGUGGUGGAAAAGACCAGUAAUUCCAGCAGUCAAGGGGUUGAGGCAGGGUGACUGAGUUUGAGGUUAGUGUGGGGCUAGUCCUAUUUCAAAAAACUAAGACCGUGGGGUUGGGGAUUUAGCUCAGUGGCAGAGCACUUGCCUAGCAAGCACAAGGCAAGUCCCCAGCUCUGAAAAAAAAAGAAAAAAGAGAAAAGAAAAAAAAAAAA
This 503-nucleotide long non-coding RNA is filed under the name Rattus norvegicus (Norway rat). Its description in RNAcentral is "long non-coding RNA NONRATT017157". The stretch from base 407 to 461 matches the Rfam family "tRNA". Lineage: Eukaryota; Metazoa; Chordata; Mammalia; Rodentia; Muridae. The record is from RNAcentral.